RNAcentral lists this ribosomal RNA (468 nucleotides) under uncultured bacterium. RNAcentral describes it as "partial 16S ribosomal RNA". It matches the Rfam family "Bacterial small subunit ribosomal RNA", at positions 28 to 507 of the family's 1533-position model. The record is from RNAcentral.
GAUGAACGCUGGCGGCGUGCUUAACACAUGCAAGUCGAACGGUGAAGGCGGAGCUUGCUCUGCUGGAUCAGUGGCGAACGGGUGAGUAACACGUGAGCAAUCUGCCCCUGACUCUGGGAUAAGCGCUGGAAACGGCGUCUAAUACUGGAUACGAGCUGCGAAGGCAUCUUCAGCAGCUGGAAAGAAUUUCGGUCAGGGAUGAGCUCGCGGCCUAUCAGCUUGUUGGUGAGGUAAUGGCUCACCAAGGCGUCGACGGGUAGCCGGCCUGAGAGGGUGACCGGCCACACUGGGACUGAGACGCGGCCCAGACUCCUACGGGAGGCAGCAGUGGGGAAUAUUGCACAAUGGGCGAAAGCCUGAUGCAGCAACGCCGCGUGAGGGACGACGGCCUUCGGGUUGUAGACCUCUUUUAGCAGGGAAGAAGCGAAAGUGACGGUACCUGCAGAAAAAGCGCCGGCUAACUACGUG